CAGGGUUUUGGAGCCAGGAAGGGUCCUCAGACACACACACCCAGCAUUUCACAUUCGGUAAGUGAUGCGUGUUCAUCUCAUCUGAUUAAUUCCCUUAUUCUACAGGUAGAGAAACUGAGGUGAAGAGGCCACAGGACUGUCCCCAAACCACAGAGUCAGCAGUGACGGAGGUCACCGCCCAGUGCACAGCUGAGAUUCCAGCCCAGGCUCGGGAGAGCAGAAGCUGAGCUUCCUAAGGCCUGGUCUCCCACGUGGCCGGCGGGAGGGCCCCUCCAGAAGGGUUUCCAGAGAGGCCACUACUGUUGUCUGGAUUGAUAGUGAGUUGCCCACAUCCCGUAAGCCCCUCCCUGCCAGGCCUGAGCCCGCAGCCCGGCUGCAGGCAGGGAGCGAGGCUGGGCGCUAAUUUACACUUGUUUAACUACAGCUGCCGCCUCCCGCCAUGUGUCUGGCCGCCAUUUAUUGCGCUUUCCGAAGCCCUGCCCGGCACUCAGGGGCAUUUCCUGCCUGCGCUAAUGGAGGAGAAUAGACGCAUUAUAUGUGAAUAAUGGAUUAUGAUGAUACAAUUUGGGUCUCUUAGCUCUCACCAAGCCUAGGCUAGCCUUGCAUUAUUAAUAACUUACACACACCUUCCCGAGCGUGUUUAUGUAAAUAUUUAAUAGGGAAAGCAAGUUAACCCAUUGGUUCCAGCCCUUUCCAGAGCGUCAGAAGUAAAGGCUGUGAGGGUGACGGGGGUGGGGCCCCCAGCAGGCGUCAGGGCCCUUUGGAAAGCCGGCACCUUCCCGAGAUGCUGGCUUGGUCACAGGGAGUUUAUGGCCUCGAGGUUUGUGGCUCUCGGGGCCAAGAGAAAAGGGUAGGUCUGCCUCACCACGGGAGACCACUGCUCUGCCGGCACAGGCAGAACACAGCGAGGGUGUUGGGGACGAGGGUGCUGAUGACUGACAUGCAGCGGGGUGGGUGUCACCCUGAAUAAAUAGAACCAUUGCUGCCCGUCUUACAUGGCUGAUUUCCUGCACUUUCACGCGGCUUCCACGUUUCACACUCCAUUUCAUGCCGGAAGGCAACACUUCAGAGACUGCCUGGCUUUCACCCGGGCUCCACUACUUAGCGGCUGGAUGGCAGGUUAAUCUCUGUGCACACCGGUUGUCACAUCUGUAAAAUGGGGAACUAAUGCACUUGUCUCAUAGGUACUCAUCGCUGAGUGCAAGACUUCGGUGAGAUAAUCUAUCUAAAGCGGCUUUACAGUCCCAGCACGUGGGAAGGGCUCAACACCUUGCAGUCAUAUAGCAGGGAUGUGAAGCUGCGCGUGUUCUCGCACGGGUCUUACUGCCAGGGCAUACGUUCACUGACAGCGUUUCUCAGUAGUAUGGAAAAUAGUCGUGCAUCCUGGACUCAAUGGAAUACAGCUGUUAUUUUGCUAAAAUUGUGUUUCUGGCAAUUAAACAACUUUGCCCCCUCUGGGAAGUCAUAAGAGUGGGCAUGUGCCCCAUCUGCUUGGGCUGAAGGGGGAGGACCAGGCAGGACCAGGAGACCUGAGCUGGCCUCCCUCCGCGCCCCUCCACCAGCACUCCCGCCCUGGGCGCCUGCCCUCUCAGCCUAUGUCCCUGUAUCCCUCUCCCAGGUUGCCACUGACAACCUGCCAUUCUCAGAGCCAACCUCCCUGAGCUGCCAAGACUUCGCAGGGGCUGGCUUCCCCACCUGAAUGCCCUCUGCUCCUCCUCCUCCCCCGGGAAACCCUGACGGAUUCAGGACAUGGUUCAGUCUUCACCUCCUUCUUCCAGCCUUCUCUGCCUCUUGACUGAUCUCAUCUUAAAAUCAAAAUGGCCAGUUUGUUCUUCUGUCUUCUCACCAGACCUGCAGGCCCACGGGCCCGGGGAACGGGCACUGACUCUGUAUGCCCAACACCUCCUUGCACAGGCCCGGUGUAAGGGCUGUGGGAAUACUGCAGUGCACACCACGGACAACGGUCGGUGCCCUUGGGCCUCCUACGCUAGAGGGAGGGGACAGACGAGACAUGGGAGCCAUUGGAGGAUUCUGUGCAGAGGGGUGACCACGUCUGACGUGUGUUGAAGGGUCAUUCUGGCAGCUGUGUGGCGCAUUACUACCGGGACAAGUACUGCGGCAGAGACACCAAUUAGGGGCUGCUGCAAGAAUCCAGACACUUCACAUAUGGUUUUUCCUUUGAUCCUGAGAUUUAGGAAUUCUCAUGCCCAUUCUGCAGGCAAGGAAACUGAGGCUGAGAAAGGUAAAGUUGUUUGACCAAUGUUCCAUGGCUAGUUAUUGCACAGCAGCAAUAAACCCAAGCUUCAAGUCAGCCUGGUUAACAUUUAUUGACCAUCUACUGAGAACUGGGUGCUCUUAAUAGAUAUCAUUUUAUUUUAUACUCUCGACACCCAUGCAAAAUGGAUGUCAUUUCCACCCAUUUUACAGAUGAGAAAACAGGCUUAGAGUCUUAUUAAGUGACCUACCUGGAAGUUACCCAAGGAGGAAAUGGGUGGCAGAGAUUUGAAUCCUGUUCUCCUGCCCUCAUUUUAAAGACCUGGGAUUCUCCCGAGCCUGAAUUUGGAGAAGGGAAUAGGGUUGUAGGAUUAACUGUGAAUUCUAGGCUUGAAAUGCCAGGCUUCUUCCAGAGGCCAGAUGUCGGGCUGGGGCCACGAGGCCCUCUGCUGCGUCCUAGGCUGGGAGCAGGGAGGGAGAGGACUCUGCCACCAAAGCCCAGGCUGGGCGCUCCCAGGGAGUCCCCUUCUCCCCCGCCUGCCCAGCAUCUGCCCUCCACCAGCUCCUGCCUGGCUGCCAGAUGUACCAGCUGUGGCUCCCCUCCAUGGAGAGCCUCAUUUAUUAAUUAAUGUGGACGCCAAGGGGGCAACUUCUCAGGCCCAGCCUCAGAGCAGAUCUUGGCACAUUUUUCAGACUUUGUUUAAUAAUUUAUCAUCUUUUAAUCAUAAAAAUAAUUAGCACAAGAGCAAUAAUCUGUGCUCUGCCGAGAGCAGACCAGCAGAGGAGUUUUCAGACGGUGCCAGAGCCCAGAGAGCUGAGCUUUGGCAGAGAGGAGGGGAAGGCUGGCUGGCAGCCAGGUGUCCUCUCCAGGGCUGGCCUCUGGGAGUCAGGUGUCGGAGAUACCGCCUGGCUUGGCCGGGGACGUGAGGACCACGCUGCUUUCCUGGGAAAUGGAAGCUCCUGCCCCUGUCUGACCUGACUCACUGGAUAACCCUCUGGGAAGUUCCCUCCUUCACUGGGUCUUAAUUUUCCCAUCUGUAAAAUGGGAGUUCAACUAGAUAAUGCCUAAGGACCCUUUUGUUCAAGGUGCCAUGACCCGAGGAGGUAGCAAAUGUAGAUGCAGUGGUUUGUGACAGUGAAGAGAGGGAGCUGGAGUGUCCACAAGAGCCGAGAAGCCUCCCAUGGUCCUCCGCAGAAGCGUGUGCCAUCUCCUCUGCUCCCCAGAUUCGCACAGAGCCCUGGGAUGAGACUCGGUUCUGCCAAGUCUAAGCUGUGUGGCCUAGAGCAAGACCCGCCGCUCUCUGAGCCUCAGUGUACCCAUCUGAAAAGUGGGAGUGAUCAUUUAUGCCUGCAGGUCUCCCAGAGAAGAUCCAAGGAAGAGUAGGACACGGCUGCCCCUUGGAGACAUUGGUCCCGUUCUGUCCCGGAUUUAAGUGCCCCUCCCUGCCCAGACUGGAGGGUGGGACAGGACUGCCUCAUCCUCUGUGACAGCCCCCAAUGUUCUGUCAAUUCCAGGGACCUGUCUUGAGGUUGUGCAACCUGUGCAGGCGGACACAGCCUCCCCCAGGGUGACAGCAGAGUCAGGUGGCUCUGGACAAGACCGCAGCAGUCCAAGAAGUUGAUUCCGCCUUCAGGUCUUGUGCAAGCUGCUGAGCCUCCAGCUGCCUCAGUCUCUUCAUGUGUAAAUGACAAUACCUGCCUUAGGUUGGGGUCCCUAGAAGCAGACCCUGAGACAAGAAUUCGAGAGCAAGUCAUUUAUCUGAGAAGACAUCCUGGAAACUCCAGGAGGGAGUAGAGGGGUGAGACGGGGAUGGCGAGGAAAGAGGUGGGUCAGUGAGCCAGUGACCCCUUUAGAAAACCAGGCGGUGCCCAGUUCUGCCGGGGCCAUCUCAGGGGUUGGCAAACUACAGCCCACAGGCCCCAUCGGGCCUGCCUCCUGACUUUGCAAAUAAAGUUU
Non-coding RNA from Microcebus murinus (gray mouse lemur), 4171 nucleotides. The record is from RefSeq and is a predicted model, not a curated record. NCBI's taxonomy places the organism in Eukaryota, Metazoa, Chordata, Mammalia, Primates, Cheirogaleidae.